This is a long non-coding RNA of Mesitornis unicolor (brown roatelo), 291 nucleotides long. RefSeq lists it as uncharacterized. The record is from RefSeq and is a predicted model, not a curated record. The transcript has 2 exons. Lineage: Eukaryota; Metazoa; Chordata; Aves; Mesitornithiformes; Mesitornithidae.
AGAUUGGACUGGUUUAGAUGAAGAUGAAGAUGCGCACGUCUGGGAAGACAAUUGGGAUGAUGACAAUGUAGAAGAUGAUUUCUCCAAUCAGUUAAGAGCUGAAUUAGAAAAACAUGGAUACAAGAUGGAAACCUCGUAGUUUUUUGCUGAAUAUGGAGUUUAACAUUGAACUGUGGAUAGAUUAUAUUGAGAAAAGAAGAAAAGGUUGAAAAUGAGAAGACACACUUAGUUCAUUAUCUGCUUGGAUUUAUUAUUGUUUUGUAUAAAAAAAUAAAGUUUUUUUUAAUCUUA